UACGAAGGUGACAAGCGUUGUUCGGAAUCAUUGGGCGUAAAGCGCACGUAGGCGGGUUUGAAAGUCGAUUGUGAAAACCCUGGGCUCAACCCGGGACCUGCAGUCGAAACUUCAAGUCUUGAAUGCUCGAGAGGAUAGUGGAAUUCCAGGAGUAGAAGUGAAAUUCGUAGAUAUCUGGAGGAACACCGGAGGCGAAAGCGGCUAUCUGGCGAGACAUUGACGCUAAGGUGCGAAAGCGUGGGGAUCAAACAGG
Molecule: ribosomal RNA, 253 nt
Filed under: uncultured bacterium
Lineage: Bacteria
Description: partial 16S ribosomal RNA
Rfam family: Bacterial small subunit ribosomal RNA
Source: RNAcentral